UGUAUAAGUUUAUGUUUUUAUGAUAAUUUGAACAUUUUAUGUUCAAUGUGUCUAAAUUUUGAAAUUUAUUUCAUUAUUAUUAGUUAUUGAUGUUUGGACAAUUAAAGUAUUUGGACAUGCAUUAUGUACAAGACAUUGUUUUUUUACCUGGACAUUUUAACCAUCGCGUCAUUAAUAUACAAUUUGUAAUUUUGACAUGGUGUGCAAUGAUAGCCAAUUCAUUCAAUUUUAAAUAAUAUGAGUUGUUGGUUGA
Molecule: non-coding RNA, 253 nt
Organism: Cinara cedri
Lineage: Eukaryota; Metazoa; Arthropoda; Insecta; Hemiptera; Aphididae
Source: the annotation of a GenBank genome assembly